Molecule: ribosomal RNA, 253 nt
Filed under: uncultured bacterium
Lineage: Bacteria
Description: partial 16S ribosomal RNA
Rfam family: Bacterial small subunit ribosomal RNA
Source: RNAcentral
UACGUAGGGGGCAAGCGUUGUUCGGAAUUACUGGGCGUAAAGAGUGUGUAGGUGGUGUCGUAAGUUUGGUGUGAAAUCUCCCGGCUUAACUGGGAGGGUGCGCCGAAGACUGCGAUGCUGGAGUAUGGGAGAGGAAAGCGGAAUUCCUGGUGUAGCGGUGAAAUGCGUAGAUAUCAGGAGGAACACCUGCGGUGUAGACGGCUUUCUGGACCAUUACUGACACUGAGACACGAAAGCGUGGGUAGCAAACAGG